AAAACCUUAGCAGUGAGGUAAAUUAUUUGUAAUUUUCGUUUUAUUAAUUUCUAUGUCAUAUUAAUUUUUAUUUAAAUGUUUCUUGCAAUUUAUAUAUUUUGUUAAUAUUUCUUGUAUUUUCAAUAUUAAUAUGAAUGUUUCUUGCAAUAUUUAUAUUUUGUUUUGCAUUUCUAAUAAAUUGUUAAAAUUUAUUGCAUUUCCAUUAUUUGUUUUUUAUACAUGUUGCAUUUUUUAAAAAUGUAUUGCAUUUGCAUUUUUU
RNAcentral lists this long non-coding RNA (259 nucleotides) under Prunus persica (peach). Its description in RNAcentral is "long non-coding RNA (PPER_LNC008169)". Lineage: Eukaryota; Viridiplantae; Streptophyta; Magnoliopsida; Rosales; Rosaceae. The record is from RNAcentral.